CCUACGGGGGCAGCAGGGGGGAAUAUUGCACAAUGGGGGAAACCCUGAUGGAGCGACGCCGCGUGAGUGGAGAAGUAUUUCGGGAUGUAAAGCCCUAUCAGAAGGGAAGAAAAUGACGGUAUCGGAUUAAGAAGCCCCGGCUAACUACGUGCCAGCAGCCGCGGGAAUACGUAGGGGGCAAGCGUGAUCCGGAGUUACUGGGUGUAAAGGGAGCGUAGACGGCAGCGAAAGACGGAAGGGAAAUGCCGGGGCUUAACCCAGGAACUGCUUUGGAAAAGGUGCAGCUAGAGUGCAGGAGAGGCAAGUGGAAUUCCUGGUGUAGCGGUGAAAUGCGUAGAUAUUAGGAGGAACACCAGUGGCGAAGGCGGCUUACUGGACUGUAACUGACGUUGAGGCUCGAAAGCGUGGGGAGCAAACAGGAUUAGAUACCCCUGUAGUC
Molecule: ribosomal RNA, 439 nt
Filed under: uncultured bacterium
Lineage: Bacteria
Description: partial 16S ribosomal RNA
Rfam family: Bacterial small subunit ribosomal RNA
Source: RNAcentral